UACGGGGGGAGCAAGCGUUGUUCGGAUUUACUGGGCGUAAAGGGCGCGUAGGCGGCCUGUGCAAGUCAGUUGUGAAAUCUCCGAGCUUAACUCGGAACGGUCAACUGAUACUGCUCGGCUAGAGUGCGGAAGGGGCAACUGGAAUUCUUGGUGUAGCGGUGAAAUGCGUAGAUAUCAAGAGGAACACCUGCGGCGAAGGCGGGUUGCUGGGCCGACACUGACGCUGAGGCGCGAAAGUUAGGGGAGCGAACGGG
Molecule: ribosomal RNA, 254 nt
Filed under: uncultured bacterium
Lineage: Bacteria
Description: partial 16S ribosomal RNA
Rfam family: Bacterial small subunit ribosomal RNA
Source: RNAcentral